UACGAAGGGGGCUAGCGUUGUUCGGGAUCACUGGGCGUAAAGCGCACGUAGGCGGAUUUUUAAGUCAGGGGUGAAAUCCCGGGGCUCAACCUCGGAACUGCCUUCGAUACUGGCGAUCUUCGAGUCCGGGAGAGGUGAGUGGAACUCCGAGUGUAGAGGUGAAAUUCGUAGAUAUUCGGAAGAACACCAGUGGCGAAGGCGGCUCACUGGCCCGGUACUGACGCUGAAAUACGAAAGCGUGGGGAGCAAACAGG
RNAcentral lists this ribosomal RNA (254 nucleotides) under uncultured bacterium. RNAcentral describes it as "partial 16S ribosomal RNA". It matches the Rfam family "Bacterial small subunit ribosomal RNA", at positions 524 to 776 of the family's 1533-position model. The record is from RNAcentral.